Molecule: ribosomal RNA, 497 nt
Filed under: uncultured bacterium
Lineage: Bacteria
Description: partial 16S ribosomal RNA
Rfam family: Bacterial small subunit ribosomal RNA
Source: RNAcentral
GAUGAACGCUGGCGGCGUGCCUAAUACAUGCAAGUCGAGCGAACAGACGAGGAGCUUGCUCCUCUGACGUUAGCGGCGCACGGGUGAGUAACACGUGGAUAACCUACCUAUAAGACUGGGAUAACUUCGGGAAACCGGAGCUAAUCCCGGAUAAUAUAUUGAACCGCAUGGUUCAAUAGUGAAAGACGGUUUUGCUGUCUCUUAUCGAUGGAUCCCGGCCGCAUUGGCUAGUUGGUACGGUAACGGCUUACCAAGGCAACGAUGCGUAGCCGACCUGAGAGAGUGAUAGGCCACACUGGAACGUGGACACGGUCCAGGGGCCUGCGGGAGGCAGCAGUAGGGAAUCUUCCGCAAUGGGCGAAAGCUUUACGGAGCAACGCCGCGUGAGUGAUAAAGGUCUUCGGAUCGUAAAACUCGGUUAUUGGGUAAGAACAAAUGUGUAAGUAACUAUGCACGUCGUGACGGUACCUAAUCAGAAAGCCACGGCUAACUACGUG